This 1616-nucleotide long non-coding RNA is filed under the name Triticum aestivum (bread wheat). RNAcentral's name for it is "long non-coding RNA (TAES_LNC010476)". Lineage: Eukaryota; Viridiplantae; Streptophyta; Magnoliopsida; Poales; Poaceae. The record is from RNAcentral.
AAACAAAGAAAAUCUAAUGGGAAGAAAAGAACAACAUGUUUUCAUGCUGUGACUUGAAAUUGAUCGUAUAACUGAUAUUCACCACACUAUCAAUUUAUCAGUAUCAAAGGAACGAAAUUCCUUUUUACGAGUUGCAAUAAAUAUCGGCAAUAGCUCAGUUCAGGCAAUUGAAACAACAGGAAGAGGAUACCAAGUUGACCUGUUGUAUUAGGAAUCAAAACUUAGAUCUAACAACAAACAACAUAGCCACCGGACUCAGAAAAAGGUUUCACCUUUGUGGCCUGGCCACCCCUCAUACCGCGGAGGGCUCCUCCAUAUCCCUGUCCCUGCCACGGCCGUUGGCGCCGGCGCCCCCACCGUGGUGAGGCGGGUCAACGGCACUGAGGCCAUCAGGCAUGAGGGAGGCCGGGCGGUUCUCGAUGACCUCGUCUAUAAGCCCCCAUUCGCGGGCCUCCUCGGGGUCCAUGAAAAGGUCACGCUCCAUGCACUGCUCGAUCUUGUCGAUGUUCUGGCCCGUGUGCUUGGCGUAGAUCUUGUUGAGGCGGUCGCGCAGCUUGAGUAUCUCCUUGGCCUGGAUGGCGAUGUCGGUGGCCUGGCCCUGGGCCCCGCCGGAGGGCUGGUGGAUCAUGACCCUGGCGUUGGGCAGCGCCCGCCUCUCCCCGCGCGCGCCGGCGGCGAGGAGGAGGGAGCCCAUGGAGGCGGCCUGGCCGAUGCAGAUGGUGUUGACGGGGCAGCGGAUGUACUGCAUGGUGUCGUAGAUGGCGAGCCCGGCGGUGACGACGCCCCCGGGGGAGUUGAUGUAGAGGCUGAUGGGCUUGAGCGGGUUCUCGGACUCGAGGAAGAGCAGCUGCGCGACGACGAGGGACGCCGUCUCGUCGGCGAUGGGCCCGUGGAUGCAGACGAUCCGCUCCUUGAGCAGGCGGGAGAAGAUGUCGUAGGCGCGCUCCCCGCGGGAGGUGGUCUCGACGACCAUGGGCACGAGGCCGUACUCGCGGACGGAGGAGUAGCCCUCCGGCUCCGGCGGCUGGUAGGGAGCCGAGGAGAAGAAGGCCCGCGGCGGGGCGGCGACGGCGAGCCGGCGCGGCGCGGGCCCGAACGGGCCCGGGCUGGCCGAGUUGGGCCUGGACCUGGGCCUCGGCGCGAAGGCGGGCAGCGGGGAGGCGCCGGCUAGGUUGGCGACGGCGGAGGGCGUCAUGGCUGCUGCUGCCGGUGGUCCUGGGGGCGUCCGGGGUGCGGAUUUGUGGUCGGAUGUGAGGCGGAAAUAGCAAGGGAGGACUUAUACCAAGGAAGGGGAGGAGAGUGUGAAACGGAGGAAACGGAUAGGGCGAGGCGAGACGUCGAGACGGUGGUUGCGCUUCGAUCCGCCGGAUCGGAUCUUUUCUUUUCUUCUCUUCUCCUCUCUUCUCCUCUCCGGGGUGGGGUGGAGUGGGGGAUCGGUGUUCCUCUCCCUGCCUUGCCUUGUUGCUUCUCCGUCUGGGCUUUCGCUUCUUUUCCAAGAAAGAAUUUAUUUUCUUUUCUGAGACAAAGAACGUCUGGGCUUUCGCUUGUUUUCCAUGAAAGAAUUUAUAAUUUUUUUCGAGACAAAGAAAGAAUUCGAUUUAGCCCACAGUAGUGGG